Oryzias melastigma (Indian medaka) is the source of this 687-nucleotide long non-coding RNA. RefSeq lists it as uncharacterized. The transcript has 4 exons. NCBI's taxonomy places the organism in Eukaryota, Metazoa, Chordata, Actinopteri, Beloniformes, Adrianichthyidae. The record is from RefSeq and is a predicted model, not a curated record.
AAUCCUCGUUGUUCUCCACCUGGUGACUCCUGUAACCUGUUGCUGAUCAGAACACUGGAUCAUUACACUCAGACCGUCGUGGUUUAGUUCUUGUUGUGUUCAUCGUGUUUAAGAACUCGCCAUGAAGCCUUUUUGAUAAAAUUCCUGCUUGGAUAAACCUCUCCACUGGAAUCAGACUGACACAGCUGGUGUGUGAAUGUGUAUCCAUCGGACGGGGAAUAUUCUGGAAGCAGGAUGCCAAAUCUGGAGCUGUCAAGAGGAAGACGGAAGAGGCUUAGGAUCCAGAGAUCAAAGGUGCCAUAUCAUAGAGGAGGGUAAUAACCCAGAAAUAACCUCGUUAUGGAGACAGCGCUGCGGUCUGGGCACAAUGAACUCAGAGCUGAAGAAUUAGUGACCUGGAAAGUGGCAGUGAGGGUUAAUGGCAUUAGCUACAUCACACACAGAGUGAGAGUCGGAGGAGGAGGAGGGAGAGCAGACAGCAGAAAUCAUGGCUGCAAUCACCAAAGGAAGCUGCCUGAGAAUUCACAGGAAAAUAAAAGAUCCUCUGAUGGCAGAUUGUUCUUUUUUUUACUCAUCAUGGUGCCUUUUGAUAUGGAGAGCGUGCCACUGUUGGGAGGAUUCAUCCAUCAGCGUUAUUAUCAUUGCUGUUUGAAACGGAUGCUGCCUCUUUUAUUGUUCGGAGUCUAA